RNA transcript from Aethalodelphis obliquidens (Pacific white-sided dolphin), 1771 nucleotides. It is a transcript of the gene named protein TEX261 pseudogene, with no coding region annotated. The record is from RefSeq and is a predicted model, not a curated record. Lineage: Eukaryota; Metazoa; Chordata; Mammalia; Artiodactyla; Delphinidae. The transcript has a single exon.
GCUCCGUGUCACCGGAGCCGGAGUGCUCAGGCCCAUCCCGGCUGGGGGGCGGGCGGCCCGGACGAUGGCGCCACGUGGUUCAUGUAUGUGCUGAGCUGGCUGUCGCUCUUCAGCCAGGUGGCCUUCAUCACGCUGGCCAUUGCAGCCGGACUCUAUUACCUGGCAGAAUUGCUAGAAGAAUACACGGUGGCCACCAGCAGGAUCAUAGAAUAUAGGGUCUGGUUCUCCGCAGCUGUGCUGAUUGGCCUCUGUGUUUUUGAGCGUUUCGCCACCUACAUGAUCGGCAUAGGCCUCUUCCUGGUCUACCUGGUCUACUUUGGCCUCCUCCAGACCUUCCCUUUCAUCAUGCUCACCUCGCCUAACUUCAUCCUGUCCUGUGGGCUACUGGUGGUGAAUCAUUACCUAGCGUUUCAGUUUUUUGCAGAGGAAUAUUAUCCUUUCUCAGAGGUCCUGGCCUGUUUCACUUUCUGUCUGUGGAUAAUCCCGUUUGCGUUCUUUGUGUCACCGUCGGCUGGGGAGAACGUCCUGCCUGCCACCAUGCAGCCUGGAGAUGAUGUGGUCUCCAAUCACUUCGCCAAAGGCAAGCGGGGCAAACGCUUAGGGAUCCUGGUUGUCUUCUCCUUCAUCAAAGGGGCCAUUCUACCCAGUCGGCAGAAGAUAUACUGACCUUCUGCGGAGGGGUUACCGGGGCAAGAUCAGGAGAGUCAGGCCUCUGGGCCUCUGCACUAGGUGGGGGCCGGGAGCUGGAAGGCACCUUUCCCCAGCCCUGGCCCUCCUUCCCUCGACUCCCCCAGAAGCCCCCAUCCCCACCGUCCUCAGGAGGCUCAGCUUGGCUCAGAUCUGAUGCUGCCAGAGGCUGAGACCUCAGAGGGCGCCAGGGAGGAUGUGGUGCCUGCUUAGCCAGGAGACCAUGGUCCACCUGGGUGUGCAAAAGCUGAGCUCCUGUGGCCCUCCCGCCCCCUCUUGUGAUGGGUCAGGAGUUCUGGCUCAGGCAGGGCAGGGGCUGUGAAGCUGGAGAGCAGACAGGGAUAAUUGCUAUGGGCAGAUGGCAGUGGGGAGGGGCCGUGGCUUAGCCUUUGCAAGAGAAAGUUUUUGCUGUUGAACUGUGAUUUCUGUCCAAGUGCUGAUUCCCGUUUGAAUAGAUUCUAGGUGACCCUGUUUGCCUUAAUACCCUGAAAAAAAAAAAAAAGAAGAAAAGAAAGAAACUGUGUCCCCUGCAGUGGAAGCAUGGAGUCCUAACCACUGGACCAGCAGGGAAUUCCCUGGUGUGCUAUUUUUUAUAAAACAUGUCCUAUAGAGAAAAUGGUGUGAGGGUAAGUACUUCAAAAUGUAAUGGUCUUUGUUUGGUGUUGGAAAUAAGCUGUACUUUUUAUUGUUUCUGCCUGUCUUUUUUUUUUUUUAAAUGAUGAAUGUAUAUUUCUUAUGUAACUGAAAAGUAAUAAUAGUUAAAAAAAAAAAAAACCAGUAAGAGAUCAUUGCUUUCGUAGGGGAGUAAUGGGUAUCUGGACUUUUUCACCCUGUCUGUGCUCUGCUUUUUUUUUUUUUUUAUUUGUGGCUGCAUUGGGUCUUCGUUGCUGCAUGGGCUUUUCUCUGGUUGCGGCCAGCAGGGGGUCUACUCUUCCUUGCGGUGUGCGGGCUUCUCGUUGCAAUGGCUUCCCUUGUGGAGCACUAGCUCUAGGCAUGCGGGCUCAGUAGUUGUGGCACUCAGGCUCAGUAGUUGUGGUUCACAAGCUCAGUAGUUGUGGUGCACGGGCUUAAUUGCUCCACAGUA